ACGAACGCUGGCGGCGUGCUUAACACCUGCAAGUCGCACGGAAAGGCCCUGCUUUUGUGGGGUGCUCGAGUGGCGAACGGGUGAGUAACACGUGAGUAACCUGCCCUUGACUUUGGGAUAACUUCAGGAAACUGGGGCUAAUACCGGAUAGGAGCUCCUGCUGCAUGGUGGGGGUUGGAAAGUUUCGGCGGUUGGGGAUGGACUCGCGGCUUAUCAGCUUGUUGGUGGGGUAGUGGCUUACCAAGGCCUUGACGGGUAGCCGGCCUGAGAGGGUGACCGGCCACAUUGGGACUGAGAUACGGCCCAGACUCCUACGGGAGGCAGCAGUGGGGAAUAUUGCACAAUGGGCGGAAGCCUGAUGCAGCAACGCCGCGUGCGGGAGGACGGCCUUCGGGUUGUAAACCGCUUUCGCCUGUGACGAAGCGUGAGUGACGGUAAUGGGUAAAGAAGCACCGGCUAACUACGU
Molecule: ribosomal RNA, 466 nt
Filed under: uncultured bacterium
Lineage: Bacteria
Description: partial 16S ribosomal RNA
Rfam family: Bacterial small subunit ribosomal RNA
Source: RNAcentral